Molecule: transfer RNA, 74 nt
Filed under: Rhodospirillaceae bacterium
Lineage: Bacteria; Pseudomonadati; Pseudomonadota; Alphaproteobacteria; Rhodospirillales; Rhodospirillaceae
Also listed under: 1 other name
Description: tRNA-Cys
Rfam family: tRNA
About the family: Transfer RNA (tRNA) molecules are approximately 80 nucleotides in length. Their secondary structure includes four short double-helical elements and three loops (D, anti-codon, and T loops).
Source: RNAcentral
GGCGCGAUGGCAGAGUGGUGAUGCAGCGGAUUGCAAAUCCGUGUACAGGGGUUCGAUUCCCCUUCGUGCCUCCA